GAUGAACGCUGGCGGCGUGCCUAAUACAUGCAAGUCGAGCGAACAGACGAGGAGCUUGCUCCUCUGACGUUAGCGGCGGGCGGGUGAGUAACACGUGGAUAACCUACCUAUAAGACUGGGAUAACUUCGGGAAACCGGAGCUAAUACCGGAUAAUAUAUUGAACCGCAUGGUUCAAUAGUGAAAGACGGUUUUGCUGUCACUUAUAGAUGGAACCGCGCCGCAUUAGCUAGUUGGUAAGGUAACGGCUUACCAAGGCAACGAUGCGUAGCCGACCUGAGAGGGUGAUCGGCCACACUGGAACUGAGACACGGUCCAGACUCCUACGGGAGGCAGCAGUAGGGAAUCUUCCGCAAUGGGCGAAAGCUUGACGGAGCAACGCCGCGUGAGUGAUGAAGGUCUUCGGAUCGUAAAACUCUGUUAUUAGGGAAGAACAAAUGUGUAAGUAACUAUGCACGUCUUGACGGUACCUAAUCAGAAAGCCACGGCUAACUACGUG
Molecule: ribosomal RNA, 497 nt
Filed under: uncultured bacterium
Lineage: Bacteria
Description: partial 16S ribosomal RNA
Rfam family: Bacterial small subunit ribosomal RNA
Source: RNAcentral